RNA transcript from Alnus glutinosa, 1318 nucleotides. RefSeq lists it as uncharacterized. The transcript has 5 exons. NCBI's taxonomy places the organism in Eukaryota, Viridiplantae, Streptophyta, Magnoliopsida, Fagales, Betulaceae. The record is from RefSeq and is a predicted model, not a curated record.
UGUAAGGGUAACGGGGCGUAGUAGUCGGCUUUGGAAGGUGUCGUCAUGGUGGCGACCGAUCGUUUCACAGUUUGGAAAUUGCGAGGGUAUAGACUGCAAAGGGAAAAAGAAAAGAGUUCUUAAAAUUGAAGAUUUUGGGGUUGCAAGCAAUAAGAAUCAGUUUUCCGGUUUACCUGAAGAGUUGCAGGGACUGAAGAGAAAUGGGCGGGACACUGACAGAAGGAGCUCCGCAAGUUCUCCUUCAAGCUCGUCUUCUACCUCGCCCUCUCCGCGGUUCACUUCAUAACAUUUUAUAUGCCACUCUGGGGUGCAAUUCUUUACAAUGGUUUUGCAUACUUUCAUGUCAUACGCACGCUAAACAAUGCAACCCGUGUAUGUAUGCUGUAGUGCGAUAGGCAUGUCAGACCAGGCAUACCAGUCAGAUGCAAGAGCAGACAUGAAGAUCCUAGAAGCAAGCUCCUCCUUAGUGAUCUGCUCCUCUUUUAGGAACUCCAGAUCCUUGGCCUCAAGAUCAAUCACCGCUCUCCCCGCUUUUGCUGAUUGCCUUGCUCAGCUUGUCGAAGAGAACCCUGAUUCAAGAACUCCUUCGAGGACAUCUUCAAGGAGCAAUGGAAACCAGGAGAUUUACCCAUGUUCAGUUCAACAAAUACCAAAAUGCAGCAGUGAAUUUGAACAUAAUCUCACUAUGCCGGCCACGUGAUGCCACGCGCCACCGUCUCUGCUGUUUUUUUUUUUUUUUUCCCCUGUAUUUCUGGCUUUUUCUUUGUAUUUUUGGGUAUGUUCUUUUCUGCCUUCCUCCGGCUCGGGUUUUGGGUCUCUCUUGGGUUUUGGGUUUAUUUGUUGUUUCUUGGGAGGGUUGUUUGAGGUUUUUGGUGGGUUGGGGGGGUUUGUUGGGUUGGGGUAGUUCCAAAGCUGGUUUGGGUGUUUUAUGGGGGCUUUUACUGUAUUUUGGGUUUUAUGUGGGCUUCGGGUGUUGUGGGUCCUUGUGGGUUUUUUUGUGGGCUCUUUUUGUAGGCUACCUGGAUUGUUUCUGUGUAUACUACCUGUGUACUUAGGGGUGCCUUACGCUUUUUUAAUAAAAUUUUCUUACUUGCCAAAAAAAAAAUCAUAAUAACAUUCUCUAGAAAUCCCUAUGCUAGCAAAUGAUUUGAAGAGAAACACAACACAAGGAAAUCUUAGAGAGAGGUGGGUUAGAAAGAGAAGCUCUCAACCACGCCAUAACUAUGACUUUGGGCUUUCUUAGAACCCUGUAAAGCGUAAUCUUUUUUCUCAAUAAUGAAAAAUGUUAUAAUUCCUAUUCCUUUCAUUCCACAUGCUG